CAUUUAAGUGUUUAACUACAUAGUUUCUAUGUAGUAAAUACAUGACAGACUAUGCAUAUCUGUGUCAAUCAAUGGAUAGUUUUUGCUUUUUAGCAUAGGAAAGGUUUCAUUGUGAACUGGACUGUGAAAAUUUGACACGACUCGGAAGAUUUUCUACAAUUUUCCGAUACGAUUCCUUAUUUAGAAAGGGGUGAAUUCUACAGA
Molecule: long non-coding RNA, 204 nt
Filed under: Mytilus galloprovincialis (Mediterranean mussel)
Lineage: Eukaryota; Metazoa; Mollusca; Bivalvia; Mytilida; Mytilidae
Source: RNAcentral